UCUGCAGUGAUGAGCCUCUAACAUGUAAGAAGAGCCUCAAACACGGUUUCUUCUAUGAAAUACACUUGUUACGCUUGGCUUCUGAGCGCG
RNAcentral lists this small nucleolar RNA (90 nucleotides) under Morus notabilis. RNAcentral describes it as "Small nucleolar RNA R24". It matches the Rfam family "Small nucleolar RNA R24". Rfam says of the family: snoR24 is a C/D box small nucleolar RNA which acts as a methylation guide for 18S ribosomal RNA in plants. The record is from Rfam by way of RNAcentral. Lineage: Eukaryota; Viridiplantae; Streptophyta; Magnoliopsida; Rosales; Moraceae.